UUCCGUAGGUGAACCUGCGGAAGGAUCAUUACAGUAUUCUUUUUGCCAGCGCUUAAUUGCGCGGCGAAAAAACCUUACACACAGUGUUUUUUGUUAUUACAAGAACUUUUGCUUUGGUCUGGACUAGAAAUAGUUUGGGCCAGAGGUUUACUGAACUAAACUUCAAUAUUUAUAUUGAAUUGUUAUUUAUUUAAUUGUCAAUUUGUUGAUUAAAUUCAAAAAAUCUUCAAAACUUUCAACAACGGAUCUCUUGGUUCUCGCAUCGAUGAAGAACGCAGCGAAAUGCGAUAAGUAAUAUGAAUUGCAGAUUUUCGUGAAUCAUCGAAUCUUUGAACGCACAUUGCGCCCUCUGGUAUUCCAGAGGGCAUGCCUGUUUGAGCGUCAUUUCUCUCUCAAACCUUCGGGUUUGGUAUUGAGUGAUACUCUUAGUUGAACUAGGCGUUUGCUUGAAAUGUAUUGGCAUGAGUGGUACUGGAUAGUGCUAUAUGACUUUCAAUGUAUUAGGUUUAUCCAACUCGUUGAAUAGUUUAAUGGUAUAUUUCUCGGUAUUCUAGGCUCGGCCUUACAAUAUAACAAACAAGUUGACCUCAAAU
Molecule: small RNA, 593 nt
Filed under: Debaryomyces hansenii
Lineage: Eukaryota; Fungi; Ascomycota; Pichiomycetes; Serinales; Debaryomycetaceae
Description: eukaryotic LSU rRNA
Rfam family: 5.8S ribosomal RNA (bases 231-384)
Source: RNAcentral